UUUCCGUAGGUGAACCUGCGGAAGGAUCAUUACAGUGUUCCCUGCCCUUCGGGGUAGGAUCGCCACCCUUGAUUAUUUAUGAGUGUUGCUUUGGCGGGCCUCGCGGCCUGGCCGCGCCCCGGCUUCGGCGGGGGAGCGCCCGCCAGAGGAUUCUACAAACCUGAUUAUUAGUGUCGUCUGAGUACUAUAUAAUAGUUAAAACUUUCAACAACGGAUCUCUUGGUUCUGACAUCGAUGAAGAACGCAGC
Molecule: unclassified non-coding RNA, 248 nt
Filed under: plant metagenome
Description: partial contains small subunit ribosomal RNA, internal transcribed spacer 1, and 5.8S ribosomal RNA
Rfam family: 5.8S ribosomal RNA (bases 200-248)
Source: RNAcentral